GCAGCUUCUCGGCCUCCUGGUAGUGCGCCUCGAGCCACAUGGCCUGCAGCUUGCCGUGAGACUCCUUGGUGAACUUGUGGUUCUCAAGGAUGUGGUAGAGGUCGCGGAAGUUGCCCGUGUGGAAGGCGACCACGGCGCGCGCGCGCAGGAUCGACUCGUGUUUGUUGAUGGCCUCGCACGCCCCGGGGGCCACGGGCAGCGACCAGAGGAAGCGGCCCAGCCGCUCGAUGUCGCCCGUCUCCUCCAGCGUCUCACAGACGCUGGCCACCUGCUCCGGCGAGAAGUUGAGGGUGGGCAGCUGGAACAUGGACAACUCUUCCGGGGGGGCCCUGGAGCCGCCGCCGCCGCCGCCGCCUGCUCCGCCAGCACCGCCGCCUCCCGCACCGUUCCCGCCGCCGCUGCCGCCUCCCGCGCCGCCGCCGCCUCCCGCACCGUUCCCGCCGCCGCUACUCGCCAGAAGUAUGGAGCGGUGGUGAGAAUCGGCGAAGUUUGGCAACAAGAAGUGGGAGGAAUAGAGGUCUAGGGGGGAGCGGAAUACCAUGGACUGACCUGAGAGGAGAGGAGAAAAUUC
Molecule: long non-coding RNA, 571 nt
Filed under: Homo sapiens (human)
Lineage: Eukaryota; Metazoa; Chordata; Mammalia; Primates; Hominidae
Description: non-protein coding SIX3-AS1:2
Source: RNAcentral